GACGAACGCUGGCGGCGUGCUUAAUACAUGCAAGUCGAGCGGACGGGCGAUGCUCUUGCGGGUUGCUUGUGUGGCGCACGGGUGAGUAACACGUGAGUAUAACGUACCUGUAUUUGUGAUAUCUUCAGGGGAAACCGGAUAAUAUCGCAUAGGAGCUUCUGAUGCGUAGUGGGGGAUGGAAAGAUACGGUGGUGCUGGAUGUACUCGCGGUGUACCAGCUUGUUGGGGGGGUAGUGGAUUACCAAGCCUUCGAUGGAUAGCCGACCUGAGAGGGUGAUCGGCCACACUGGAACUGAGCCACGGUCCAGAGUCCUACGGGAGGCAGCAGUAGGCAAUCGUACGCAAUGGGGGAGAGCCUGACGGAGCAACGCCGCGUCAGUGAUGACGGUCUUCGGAUCGUAAAACUCUGUUAUUAGGUAAGAACAUAUGUGUCCGUAAAUGUGCACAUAUUGACGGUAAUGAAUAAGAAAGCACCGGCUAACUACGUG
Molecule: ribosomal RNA, 488 nt
Filed under: uncultured bacterium
Lineage: Bacteria
Description: partial 16S ribosomal RNA
Rfam family: Bacterial small subunit ribosomal RNA
Source: RNAcentral